AUUGGACGCUGGCGGCAUGCUUUACACAUGCAAGUCGAACGGCAGCGCGGGCUUCGGCCUGGCGGCGAGUGGCGAACGGGUGAGUAAUGCAUCGGAACGUGCCCAGUAGUGGGGGAUAGCCCGGCGAAAGCCGGAUUAAUACCGCAUACGACCUGAGGGUGAAAGCGGGGGACCGAAAGGCCUCGCGCUAUUGGAGCGGCCGAUGUCGGAUUAGCUAGUUGGUGGGGUAAAGGCUUACCAAGGCGACGAUCCGUAGCUGGUCUGAGAGGACGACCAGCCACACUGGGACUGAGACACGGCCCAGACUCCGACGGGAGGCAGCAGUGGGGAAUUUUGGACAAUGGGGGCAACCCUGAUCCAGCCAUGCCGCGUGCGGGAAGAAGGCCUUCGGGUUGUAAACCGCUUUUGUUCGGGAAGAAAUCCUCUGGGCUAAUACCCCGGGGGGAUGACGGUACCGGAAGAAUAAGCACCGGCUAACUACGUG
This 484-nucleotide ribosomal RNA is filed under the name uncultured bacterium. Its description in RNAcentral is "partial 16S ribosomal RNA". It matches the Rfam family "Bacterial small subunit ribosomal RNA", at positions 28 to 507 of the family's 1533-position model. The record is from RNAcentral.